GACGUAGGGUGCAAGCGUUGUCCGGAUUUACUGGGCGUAAAGAGCGCGUAGGCGGCUCGUUAAGUGAGAAGUGAAAGCUCUGGGCUCAACCCAGAAACCGCUUUUCAUACUGGCGAGCUGGAGUGAUGCAGAGGUGGAUAGAAUUCCCGGUGUAGCGGUGAAAUGCGUUGAUAUCGGGAGGAAUACCCAUGGCGAAGGCAGUCCACUGGGCAUCAACUGACGCUGAGGCGCGAAAGCGUGGGGAGCGAACAGG
Molecule: ribosomal RNA, 253 nt
Filed under: uncultured bacterium
Lineage: Bacteria
Description: partial 16S ribosomal RNA
Rfam family: Bacterial small subunit ribosomal RNA
Source: RNAcentral